This 253-nucleotide ribosomal RNA is filed under the name uncultured bacterium. Its description in RNAcentral is "partial 16S ribosomal RNA". It matches the Rfam family "Bacterial small subunit ribosomal RNA", at positions 524 to 776 of the family's 1533-position model. The record is from RNAcentral.
UACGUAGGCAGCGAGCGUUGUUCGGAGUUACUGGGCGUAAAGCGUGCGUAGGCGGUGGCCCAAGUCUGGUGUGAAAUCUCCCGGCUUAACUGGGAGGGUGCGCCGGAAACUGGGUUGCUGGAGUACCGGAGAGGCAAGCGGAAUUCCUGGUGUAGCGGUGAAAUGCGUAGAUAUCAGGAGGAACACCCGUGGUGUAGACGGCUUGCUGGACGGUCACUGACGCUGAGGCACAAAAGCGUGGGGAGCAAACAGG